Molecule: ribosomal RNA, 490 nt
Filed under: uncultured bacterium
Lineage: Bacteria
Description: partial 16S ribosomal RNA
Rfam family: Bacterial small subunit ribosomal RNA
Source: RNAcentral
AUUGAACGCUGGCGGCAGGCCUAACACAUGCAAGUCGAACGGUAACAGAAAGCAGCUUGCUGCUUUGCUGACGAGUGGCGGACGGGUGAGUAAUGUCUGGGAAACUGCCUGAUGGAGGGGGAUAACUACUGGAAACGGUAGCUAAUACCGCAUAACGUCGCAAGACCAAAGAGGGGGACCUUCUGGCCUCUUGCCAUCGGAUGUGCCCAGAUGGGAUUAGCUAGUAGGUGGGGUAAAGGCUCACCUAGGCGACGAUCCCUAGCUGGUCUGAGAGGAUGACCAGCCACACUGGAACUGAGACACGGUCCAGACUCCUACGGGAGGCAGCAGUGGGGAAUAUUGCACAAUGGGCGCAAGCCUGAUGCAGCCAUGCCGCGUGUAUGAAGAAGGCCUUCGGGUUGUAAAGUACUUUCAGCGGGGAGGAAGGGAGUAAAGUUAAUACCUUUGCUCAUUGACGUUACCCGAAGAAGAAGCACCGGCUAACUCCGUG